UUUCAGCUCUUUCUUUCUACCCCCUUGAAUGCGGCCACUAGAACAUCUUUAAAGGGCCCACAGGCUCCCGUCCCGCCUCCACCGGCAGCGCCGCCCAGGCACGCCCCGAGGCGGCCCGCAGCCCCGUGUCCCCGUGUCCCCGCGUCCCCAGCGGCCCAGCCCGCCGAGGUUGGAGGCCGGGCGCUCCGGGGGCACCGGGUCCGCCCCAGGCUGACGCCCAGCAGCAGCCACGGCGGCAGAGGCAGGCACCCGAGGGGAGGGGUGACUCCGCAGGGCGCGGUGACCUUGCGGCGACCCUCGCGGGCCAGGCCUGGGGCAGGGGUGACAGGCGGGCCCCGCCGCGGCCGUGGGCACCCCGCACUCUGGGUCUCCCGGUCGUCCCCGCCCGGGACCCGAGCUGGGGAGGCGGGUGGCGCGACCACGUGGCCUGCCCAAGGUCGCCCGGGCCGGCGGGCGGGCGGUCGGGCGCACGCGGCGCCCCCACGGGGCCCAGGGCCACCCCGCCCCCAGCCGCGCCGGCCCGGGCCCUACUUGACGCUCGGCGAUCCAGAAGCGCACGUUGGGCUCCAUGAGGGCGCCGCCGCCCGGCCCCCGCCUCCCCGCCUCCGGCUCCGCUCCCCGGGACCCGCGUCGGGCCGCAGAGGCAGCGGCCGCCGGGCCCGCGCGGAGGAGGAGCAGCCGGCAGCGUGCCCCGCCCCGGGCGCGCGCGCGUCCCCGGUUCCCGCCGCCCGGUCCCGGCGCGCCCGCGGCUCCGGGGCUCCGCGGCUCCGCGGCUCCGCGUGGCCGGGGGCGGGCCCGGUGUUCCCGCUGCCUGCUGUCCCCGUGCCACCCCCACGCACCGAGCCUUCCCAACCUCACCUACCGGCUAGGGUGGCUGCGCCGCUUCCAGGCCCUUCCAGGCCCUUCCAGGCCGGGGCGGUCGCCCGUGCGAAGCCCCGCAUCACAGCCCCACUGAGAAGAACCUGCGUCUUACCGGGAGGACAGGUGCACCAACCUCUUGGGACAUCACCGUGGAAAAUCUUCAGUUGCCCUUAA
RNAcentral lists this long non-coding RNA (1035 nucleotides) under Canis lupus familiaris (dog). RNAcentral describes it as "lncRNA (ENSCAFG00030024289.1)". Lineage: Eukaryota; Metazoa; Chordata; Mammalia; Carnivora; Canidae. The record is from RNAcentral.